Vicugna pacos (alpaca) is the source of this 140-nucleotide non-coding RNA. Lineage: Eukaryota; Metazoa; Chordata; Mammalia; Artiodactyla; Camelidae. The record is from RefSeq and is a predicted model, not a curated record.
CUUCUACACUGCUGGUGGCUAGUAGUUUGGUGCAGCUCUUCUGGAAAACAGUACAGGAAUUCCUUAAAAGACUAAAAAUAGACUUACCAUAUGAUCCAGCAGUCCCACUCCUGGGCAUAUAUCCAGAGGGAACCUUAAUU